RNAcentral lists this ribosomal RNA (449 nucleotides) under uncultured bacterium. RNAcentral describes it as "partial 16S ribosomal RNA". It matches the Rfam family "Bacterial small subunit ribosomal RNA", at positions 29 to 523 of the family's 1533-position model. The record is from RNAcentral.
AACGAACGCUGGCGGCAGGCCUAACACAUGCAAGUCGAACGCAUCUUUCGGGGUGAGUGGCAGACGGGUGAGUAACGCGUGGGAAUCUACCCUUCUCUACGGGAUAGCUCCGGGAAACUGGAAUUAAUACCGUAUACGUCCUGAGGGAGAAAGAUUUAUCGGGGAAGGAUGAGCCCGCGUUGGAUUAGCUAGUUGGUGGGGUAAAGGCCUACCAAGGCGACGAUCCAUAGCUGGUCUAAGAGGAUGAUCAGCCACAUUGGGACUGAGACACGGCCCAAACUCCUACGGGAGGCAGCAGUGGGGAAUAUUGGACAAUGGGCGCAAGCCUGAUCCAGCCAUGCCGCGUGAGUGAUGAAGGCCCUAGGGUUGUAAAGCUCUUUCAGUGGGGACGAUAAUGACGGUACCCACAGAAGAAGCCCCGGCUAACUUCGUGCCAGCCGCCGCGGUAA